Molecule: ribosomal RNA, 508 nt
Filed under: uncultured bacterium
Lineage: Bacteria
Description: partial 16S ribosomal RNA
Rfam family: Bacterial small subunit ribosomal RNA
Source: RNAcentral
GGCGAACGCUGGCGGCGUGCCUAAUACAUGCAAGUCGAACGCUUCUUUCCUCCCGAGUGCUUGCCCUCAAUUGGAAAGAGGAGUGGCGGACGGGUGAGUAACACGUGGGUAACCUACCCAUCAGAGGGGGAUAACACUUGGAAACAGGUGCUAAUACCGCAUAACAGUUUAUGCCGCAUGGCAUAAGAGUGAAAGGCGCUUUCGGGUGUCGCUGAUGGAUGGACCCGCGGUGCAUUAGCUAGUUGGUGAGGUAACGGCUCACCAAGGCCACGAUGCAUAGCCGACCUGAGAGGGUGAUCGGCCACACUGGGACUGAGACACGGCCCAGACUCCUACGGGAGGCAGCAGUAGGGAAUCUUCGGCAAUGGACGAAAGUCUGACCGAGCAACGCCGCGUGAGUGAAGAAGGUUUUCGGAUCGUAAAACUCUGUUGUUAGAGAAGAACAAGGACGUUAGUAACUGAACGUCCCCUGACGGUAUCUAACCAGAAAGCCACGGCUAACUACGUG